UCUACCUUGUUAAGAGAGCACCGAGGAAGAGAGACAAGAAGGACACCGACAUAGAGAGCCAAUCGAGGGAGGCCGCGAACGUUCCAAGGAUGUUCACCUGCAAGGAGCUAGCAAAGGCCACUCGCAACUUCAGCAAGGAGAACCUGCUUGGCACCGGUGGUUUUGGAAGCGUUUACAAAGGGGUCAUCUCAGAUCCUCCGGUCGAAAUAGCCGUGAAAAAGAUAUCCGCAACCUCAAAACAAGGUUUAUUUCUUUACUUGUGUCAUGUCCUUUAGCACUCUUUUUUUGAACAUGGUCCCGUCGAUAAGAUCUAAACAUCACGGAAACAUAGUGCUGGAGCAAUUUUAUAAUUGAUGUGAAUAAAGUAGGAGAGAGAAAUUCCAUAUAUUUAUAAUGUAUCUAGAAAAAGUGUGCGUGGAGCUUAAUUAUAGGCUUGAAUAGACGGCAACCUAGGGAAAUCAGAUCGGAUAUGUAUAAUUAUAAUAAUUAAAGAAAAUACCUUAAAUAUCUCUAGAAAAUACCUAAAUAUCUCUAAUACUCCCCCCUCAAACUAGAGCAUAGAUAUUAAUCAGAUCCGGCUUGUUAUAAAUAUAUUCUAUCCUCUCAUGAUCCAGAGAUUUAGUAAAUAUGUUUGCAAGUCGUUCAACAAUCAUAAUGUGAUUUGGAAGGAUCACUCCACUCUAUAGCUUCUCUUGUAUAAAAUGACAGUCGACCCCAAUAUGUUGUGUUCUCUCAUGAAAUACAAGAUUUGAAGCUAUAUGUACUGCAGUCUUAUUAUCACAACACAGAGGCAUAGGAACUAAAGUUUUAAAGCCUAAUUUAGUCAAUGGCUGCUAAAUCCACUCUAAGUCACAUGUUACUUGUGUCAUGACUCUAUAUUUUGACUCAACACUUGAGCAGACAACAACACUCUAUUGCAACAAUACUCUAUUUCUUACUCUUUCAUGGUACUAGAUUUCCUCUAGCCAAGGUACAAUAGCUAGUAGUCAAACUCCUCUUAUUUGAGACCUUGUCCAAUCAGUGUCAGAGAAUCCUUCAACUCUACUAUGGCCAUAAUUUAGGUAAACAAUUUCUUUCCUUAGAACCUUUUUCAAGUACCUCAAAAUCCGAAUAAUUGCAUCCCAAUGAAAUGUACAAUGAGAAGACAAAAAUUAGCUUACCACACUAAUUGGAAAUGCAAUGUUUGGUUGAGCAACUAUGAGAUAGUUUAGCUUGCCUACCAGUUUUUAAUAUCUCUCAGGAUUAUCAUGAAUCUCUCCUCCCUCAGCAACUGGAUUAUCUCAUUUUUCCAUUGGUGAAUCAAGAUACUUUGAUCCCAACAUGCCUGUCUCAGUGAGUAAAUUCUGGAUAAACUUUCGUUGUAAUAGAACAAUACCUUUUUGUGACCGUGUCACCUCAAUUUCUAGGAAAUACUUCAACUUGCCCAAAUCCUUAGUAUGAAAUUAUUGCUGAAAAUAGAGCUUUAGUUCAACUAUAUUGACCAAGUCAUCUCUCGUGACAAUAAUGUCAUCAACAUACACAAUUAAAAACAACUUGCCUCCCCCUAACUGUUUAUAAAAGGAGUGAUCAUUUCCACAUCUAGACAUUCCAAAAGAGAGGACAACUUUAGAAAAUCUUCCAAAUCACACGUAUGGGGAUUGCUUCAAACCAUACAACUUUUUAAACUUGCAAACAAUCAUCUAGACUUCCCUUAAGCAACAACUCCAAGAGGUUGCUCAAUAUACAUUUUUUCAUUUGCAAGAAAGCAUUCUUGGCAUCAAGCUGCAAUAAUGGCCGUUAUAAGUGGCUACUAGAGAGAUCAAAAUACCAACAAAUGUGAACUUGACAACAUGAGAAAAAGUGUAUAAGGAGUCAACUCUAUAUACCUGAGCAUACCCUUUUGCAAUAAGUCUUUUUUUUAAGCAAGCAAGAGGGUCAUCGGGAAUGACUUUGAUAGCAUACACCCAUUGACAACCAAUAGCAAUUUUGCCUGAAGGAAGAGGUACCAAGUCUCAAGCUUGAUUAACUUGUGAGGCCUUUAAUUCUUCUUUCAUAACUACUCUCCAGCCAGAGUUAUGUAAUGCCUUGGCUGCAAACUUGAGGUAGAAUAUUGUUCAACAAUAGAUAAAAAUGAUCGAAAGAAAGGAGACAUAGAAGAGUAUGAACUAAAGUCUACAAUGGAAUGUUGAGUACAAGCACGAUACCUUUGGGAUGAACAAUAUGGGUAGGCUAAUGACGGAUCUGGAGUUGAAGAUGACCUAGUAGUGGUUGUAGGAAGGGGGGAGCAGUAUCUACUCAAGGAUGUCGAGUAUAGACCUUGAGAGAAGUUGGUUCUUGUGCAAAUAUUAGGGAAAUAUGUGGAUCAAUUGACCAAAUGGUGAUCACAUGUAAAUAUUUCAUCCACCUUAUAAAUAGUAACUGGAACAUCAUGAUAUACAAUAGAUUCAAAGAAAGAAACAUUGGUAGUUAUAAAGUAAUUUUGCAAUGAUGGAGAAUAACAAUGGUAUCCUUUUUAAGUACGAGAAUAACAUAGAAAUGUAUACUUGAUGGCCCUAUGAUCAAAUUUUGGUACUCCAGGUUAAUGACCACGAAAAGAACAAACACAAUAAAAAAUACAAGGUGGUAAGAAAAAUAAUGAUUGAUUGAGAAACAAACAAGAAAAUGGAAUACCACAUUGUAAAAUCAAACAGAGACAUAAAGCCCAGCAUCUCUCUCUCCUUUAUAUAUAUAGAUAAAUGAAUACCACCUUGUAAAACAAAAGAAGACAUGUGAUUAACGAGAUAGCAAGCAAUUAGGACAACAUAUAAAAAAAAAAAAAAGGUUUUGGGGACCUUCAUCUUAGAUAACAUGGACGUGGUGACUUCCAAUAGUGCCUAUUCUUCUUUUUAGCUACAUCAUUUUAUUGUGGUGUAUUGAAAUAGGAAAAUUCAUGGAUCAAACCAUGUUGAGUCAUAAAAUUAGAAAAGGUGCAGAAAAGUGAUCUUAGCAUUAUCAAAACACACAAUUUUAACAUGCACACCAGAGUGAGUGAAUUUUAGAAUUGAAAGCACAAAAUAUAGAAAACAAUUUUGAAUGACUUUACAUUAGAUAUAGCCAAGGGACUCUGGAAUAGUCAUCGAUAAAAGUAACAAAGUAUAUAAAACCAACAAAAUAUCUAAAUGAAUUAACGAAAAAGGAGGUGUCGCUCGCUUAAUGACUUAAGGCAAGUAAUUAAUACGAUGCAAUUUGCCAAGUUGACAUGACUCGCACUCUAAACUAGAAAGAGAUUGAAAACUAGAAUCUAAAUUUUGAAGAUUGUGAAACUAAGGAUGGCCAAGACGACAAUGGAUUUGAUGUAAGGAAGCAACACUAGAGCAUGGAAUAGAUGGAUCAUUUUCAAGCACGUAGAGCCCCCUACCUCACAUCCUCUAUUGAUCAUCAUCUUUGUAGCCAAAUCUUAGCAAAUAUAAGAAUCAAAGUAGAAUGUCACUGAACACUGAAAGUUUUUGGUUAAUAUACCAACAAACAUAAGGUUAAAUGGAAAUUGUGGGAGAUAAAUCAUCGAGAAUAAUGGCAAUGAAGAAGUUGGAUGAACUGCAUCAACCCUACUAACAUGUGUAGAUGAACCAUUAGCUAAGGUAAUAGUGGAUGAUGAUGGAGUAAGAGACUAAAAAAAAAAAAAAAAUACUUGAAAGACUUGACAAAGGACGAGAUAUAGCUAAAAGGCAUGCGGUAGCAUUACCUAUUUGUACCCAAAUAGUAGUGAAAGAAUUAGGCCAUGAGAUCUGAAACUAGCUUAUAUUGAACAAAUUCCUUAUCAAACAGAACCACUACGUUGCCUUUAGAAAACUGUGGCAAAGAAGAAGAGUUAGUACUAGAUGUAGCAUUUGCAAAAUGUUGUUGCUAUCCUAGUUUCCCAAGUAACUUGUAACAAGAUUUUCAAAUGCGGCUAGGUUUGCCACAUUAAUGAUAUGUCCAAACGGCCCCUAAGCUAUUAGUGAAAUUAUGGGACUAUCCAUAAAGCCAUUCUUGGCCUUGGCCUCUUCCUAUUCCUAUGCCUUGGCCACCACCAUGGCCACCACGACCAUUAUGUUGUCCAUGAGUUCCCCUUUCAUUCCCAUUACCACUACUGGUUCAAGACUAGGACACGAGCUUACUAUCUACCACAAACAUGGUGUCCUUGAAAAGACUCACGAGAUACCCAAAAAACUUAGGCAAAUGUAUCUAUGAGUGAGCGAUGGUCUCUCUCCUAGGAAUUAGAGAUAUGAUAGUUUCAUUGUUCGGACUGAAACCUCCUUCGAAUUCCAAUACAACCAAUUAUUCUCUCUGAAGAUGCUUUUGGUGAACAUUGGCUAAAAUUGAGAUAAGAUGAUUCAACUCCUAUACGCCCUCUUAAAAUUAGCAAAAUAUUGUGUAAUGGAACACCCCUUCCUAUUAGAUCAGUAAAACUCUUGUGAUAGCUCAUAAAUCCGCGAAAGGUUAUUUUGGCCAGAGUACAAUAUAGCCAAAUACUCCCACAAUUCUCUAAUUAUGUCAAUGUGAGUUAUGAGAUCAACUAUAUUACUCUUUAUGGUGUUCAACAUUUGACCAAGAAUAUGUGAACCAACUACAUUCCAAGUUGCAUCAAUACUAGGUUUAGGCUUAGUCAAGUGUAUAGGUUGAUUUCCGCCUAUUAAAGUUAGCUUCACAAUUUUCUUCUAUUGUUGAAAGUUGGCACUAUCCUCAAGCUUUUUAUUGGUAAUUCGAUUAGAAGUAGAGGAAAUCGCCUCAAUCAUCACAAUGUUACUCUUCUCAAAAUCACCGAUUCUUUAAUAAAAAUAAGAAAACUACUACAAUAUUUUCCUUCAAGCAACUCAACUUCAAUAGUUCAAUAAUUCAACACAAUUGAAAAAUAUCAUCAAUGGACCAUCAACAAUGAUGUCACAACACUAACAACCAAUUGAACCAACAAUGCAUACAUAUUAAUAGAGUACUUGUAGCCUUUGAAGGUUCUUUAGGUGGAAAGUUCAUGCACCCAUGGUCAUUCCAACUGACCAAUCAUAGAGAACAAGAGCAACAAAGGCCAAAUUAGAUAACCCUACCAAAUUUUGUAUAAAUCUCACAGAGUUGAUCAUUGCAAAAUCAGUUCUUGCAACCCAAUUUCCUUGAAUUUGCCCUUGAGAUUCCAAACAUCUCCACCUCCAGAGACCACACUGAUUAACUUCACCAAACUACGCAACAACUCACUACUCACUCACCCAUUGCACUGCAUAACGAAACAUCUCAAUCAGUGCAAGCUAAAACUACCAUAAAAUUCAAAUGUAAUCCAAUAUAGCUUGACCAUUGGACAAAAGGCAUGAUUUAGGGGCCUUGGAAGACUUCGAAAAAAUAGCAAAUAGAGGGAAACACCAUAUUGACCUCAGCGAAGCGAGAGUUAAGCCUAAGAACCUAUACUCGAGUGGCGAAAAGCUGAAGAGACGGAGUAGGCGACAUUUGACGAUGCCAAAUCUGACCUAAGUUGGAUGGCGACGUAAGAUCUAAGCUAGCGAAUUUUUCUGUUUUUAAUAAGAAUUUCCGCAAUGCGUGACGACUCUAAUAUCAUGUGAAUAAAGUGGGAGAGAGAAAUUUUGUUUAAUUUCAAUGUAUCUAGAAAAGAGUAUAUGGAGCUUAUUCAUGGGCUUGAAUACAUGACAAUUUAGGGAAAUCGAAUUGAAUAUGCAUAAUCAAAAUAACCAAAGGAAAUAUUUUAAAUAUCUCUAGAAAAUACCUAAAUAUAUCUAACGACCGCCAUAACUGUGAAGAUCCUUUGUGAAAAAGUUCUCAAGUAUUUGUUAAUUAACCUUAGGCAAUUUUUCAACCUCAAAUUCAACAGGUGAAAGACAGUAUUUAGCAGAGAUAUGCACGAUUGGGAGGAUGAGGCACAAGAACAUAGUGCAACUCCAAGGUUGGUGCCAUGAGGGGGAACAACUUUUGCUAGUCUACCAAUACAUGGCCAACGGUAGCCUUGACCGCUUUAUUGGCAAGCAGUCCCUCAGCUGGGAGACCCGAUAUGAGAUCCUGAUUGGCGUGGCCUCGGCACUACUCUACCUCCACGAAGAAUGUGGGAACCCUGUGGUCCACCGAGACGUCAAGCCCAACAACGUCAUGCUAGAUGCCAACUACAAUGCUUACUUGGGUGACUUUGGGCUCGCGAGGCUGAUCCAGAGCGACGCCUCAGCGACAACCAUGCUCGCGGGCACCCCCGGGUACCUAGCCCCAGAGGUGGCAUACUUAGGGAAGGCCACGCCAGAGUCGGACGUGUACAGCUUUGGGAUGGUGGUCUUGGAGGUGGUGUGCGGGAAGAGGUCAAAGGGGAUCACAGAAGAGGACAACUUGGUGGAUUAUGUAUGGAGUCUCUAUGGUGAAGGCUUGAUCCUGGAGUGUGUGGAUGAGCAAAUGGAAGGCCAAUUUGACAAGGAGCAAGUGGAGAGGGCACUAAUAGUGGCCCUUGCUUGCUUGCACCCCUACUCUGCGUGCAGGCCGAGGAUGCGAAAGGUGGUCCAGAUUUUCCUGAACCCGGACGAGUCGCUGAUGGAGUUGCCCAAGUCUCGGCCCAACAUGGCCUUUGUGCCGGUCUCAUUCUCAGGCUUGACCACCGUCGGCUACUCCUCCACCUACAAGACCAAUUCCACCUUCACUCACUCACAGCUCAGUUCACCCCCAGAGAUAGAACUCAAUCAUGAACAAGGGAUGCCAGGAUUGCGUUAAUGGUCUCGAGAAUUAAAGAUCAUAUUAGAAUAUUUCACGUGAUUCAUAUCUGAGUUAUACAAGAAUAAGUUUUACUUUGUAUUAUGUUAUGAUGUAGUGCAGAAUGGAUACUCUUUGAAGCUAGCUAUACUGUAUUUACAUACCUCUAUGAAUGUUACGUUCUUAUGUAAAAUUGAGUUGAAGUGUUUCAAGUCAUGCCACCUCAUUGCAGGAGUUACAUGGAGCCAUCGAAGAAGAAGACCCACUUAAAUUAGGAACAAUUUACAUAUGUCGAUUCAUAUAUUUAUGAAUUUCAAGACUCACGACUCAGUUUACCACCAGAGAUAGAGCUCAAUCAUGACUAGGGGAUGUCGGGGUUGCGUUAAUGGUCUUGAGAAUUAAAGAACGUAUCAGAAAAUUUCACGUGAUUCAUAUCCGAGUCAUACGGAAAUGAGUUUUACUUAGUAUUAUGCUAUGAUGUAGCGCAAAAUGGAUGUUAUUUGAAGCCUGUGUUGUAUAUACAUUCCUCUGUGAAUAUUAUGUUCUUAUAUGAAAUCAAGCUAGAGUGGUCCAAGUCAUGCUUGCCGCCUCAUUGCAGGAGUUACAUGGAGCAUAUGAAGAAGAAGGCCCACUUAAAUCAAGAAUGAUUUACAUAUGUUGAUUUGUAUAUUUAUGAAUUUUAAGGUCAAAUUAAUCCAAUGAAAGAAAAAAUAAUGUGUAAAAUGAAAGAGAAGUAUUUCACUCGCUCAUGGCAUAGUUCACCAUAGGAGAUAGAACUCGAUCAUGAACAGGGGAUGUUAGGAUUGCGUUAAUGGUCUUGGAAAUUAAAGAUCAUAUCGGAAAAUUCCAUGCGAUUCACAUCUAAGUCAUAUAGGAAUGAGUAUUACUCUAUAUUAUGCUACGAUGUGAUGCAAAAUGGAUACUCUUUAAAGCUAGCUGUGCUGUAUUUACAUUCCUCUGUGAAUAUUACAUUCUUAUGUGAAAUCAAGCUAGAUAGGUUCAAGUCAUAACGUCUCAUUGCAAGAGUUAAAUGAAGCAUAUGAAGAAGAAGACCCACUUAAAUCAAGAAUGAUUUACAUAUGUCGAUUAGUAUAUUUAUGAAUUUCAAGGCUCAAAUUAAUCUAAUGAAAGAAAAAUAAUGUGUAAAAUGAAAGAGAAGCAUUUUUAGCGAGAGAGAGAGAGCUUGGUUUUGUAGCUACAGGGAAGUUACAUAUGUCGAUUCGUAUGUUUAUGUAUUUCCAGGCUCAAAUUAAUCUAAUGAAAGAAAAAUAAUGUGUAAAAUGAAAUAGAAGCGUUUUUGGUGAGAGAGAGAGCUUGGCUUUGCAGUUAUAGGGCAGUUACAUAUGUCGAUUCGUAUAUUUAUGAAUUUCAAGGCUCAAAUUAAUCUAAUGAAAGAAAAAUAAUGUGUAAAAUGAAAGAGAAGCGUUUCUGGCGAGAGAGAGAGAGAGAGCUUGGUUUUGUAGCUACAGGGAAGUCCCACAAAAAAAAUAGAAGGCAAAUUGACGUGCGUUUGCCAGGAGUCGAAAUCUUUGCUUUCAACAGUCGCUGCACAAAGGCCUAUAUUAUCAUUCUACCAAUUUUUGGCAUGCAAGGAAUAAGACCAACUCCUCUUGGGGAUGGAAAAGUUUACUGUUAGGUCGAGAUACAAUUCUUCCUUUGGAGAUGGUCAGCAAAUAAAUAUUCGAGAUGAUAAAUGGCUUACCUCAGGCAUAAUAGGUGGACCAGCCCCUCGAGCAGAAUCUAAACUGGUUGCUGGUUUCAUAAUCCCUCCUGCUCAGGUUUGGAAUAUCUCUCUUCUCCAACAGCACUUUGACCAGCAUAUAGUUGAGGAGAUACUUACUAUCCCAUUAAGUCGUGCUCCUUCAGCUGAUCAUCUUAUCUGGACAGGAACACAAUCAGGUCAGUAUUAAGUUAAAUUGGCCUACAACUUCCUCAGACAAUUAGCCUACCCUUCGAACCCCGAUCUUCCCUCAUCCUCUUAUCAGCCAUCAGCCCAUCUCUGGCGAUCUAUCUGGCAUCUCAACACCCCUCCUAGGAUUAAAGUUUUUAUUUGGUCAUUGUGUCAUAAUGCUCUCCCUACCAAAUUUAAUCUCUUUCGAAGACACAUCUUACCAGACCCUCUCUGUCAACUCUGUUCUAUGCACACCCCUGAAACUACCGAACACAUUCUGUUAUUUUGCCCAUGGACAUCAAAGAUUUGGUCUCAUCAAAGAGUACAACUUUCUCAUUCAGCCUACAAUAGAAAUCGAAUGGAUGCGUGGCUUGAGGAAGUUUUUGAAAGUUAGGCAGGUUUACCUUCCAAAGAGAUCGUUGCUUCCAUCCUCUGGCAUAUAUGGAAGGCGCGCAAUCAUUUUAUUUUUCGGCAGCAGCGAACAGCUCCUGAUCAACUUGUAGAUAUGGCCCUCGCAGACACAACGCUAUACCGAAACUCACUGCAGCAAUCGGCCAUUCCGGACUCUGCUAUGCUCAACCCUAAUCCGCUUUGGACUCCACCGGACCAAGGCAGUUUUAAGGCGAAUAUUGAUGGGGCUUUUAACCACGAUACCCACACUGGUGCAAUCGCAUGUGUCCUCAGGGAUUACACUGGUAUUUUGAUCGGCGGAUGCAGCAGUUCUGUUCGUGCGUCUUCAGCCCUGCAAUGCGAAGCUCAAGCCUUAAUUUCCACUCUCACUUAUUUGCUAGAAUAGGGUAAGGAAGAAGAUCAUCUCAUCAUCGAAUCUGACUGCCUAACCCUUGUGGAAACCCUCAAUGAUCGCUGUUCGUCACCAUGGGAGAUUCGAGCUUUUGUUGCAGAUGCUUCUCUGCUGCGUCUCUCCUUUCCUCGCUUGCGGAUUCAACACUACCAAAGGGAAGCUAAUGCUGCAGCUGAUUGGGCCGCUAAGGCCCAAGCACGCAAUUCUCUCUCACUUUCUUGGCCCAACUUUCCUCCUGCACCGUUAACGACUUUGCUAUGUAUUGACGCCCUAUCUGCGGGUUGUAAUUUUCGUCCUCCUUGAAUACUAAUAUCAUCGUUUCUGUCAAAAAAAAAAAAAAAACAGUCGCUGCACGGCUAACGAACCAUUGGGUGGAUUAGGCUUGAGCAUCGUGGUUGAGAUAAAAGCAGCAGCAAACAUAUAAUGAAUGCAGGUGAGCAUAUAGGGCCACACCUGUGCCAACUGACAUCACAUGAAUGGGUUGGUCCGUCUUCACCCAAUCAAGAACAAGUUGAAAAGCCGAGAUUCUUAGGUUAGCCUCGGGUACUCCACAUUGGAUUGCCGGUGACAAGCGGUGAACACUUUUUUCGCGACCGCAUAAGUAGUUCGCCAACUCUACAUUUAAGUAAGGUAGGAGGGCUUAUUCAGUGGACGGGCCUUGGCCUGCGCCUAACCCUGUUGUGGAGUGUGAGUUUUGACUCCAAGGAUCAAAUGUAGCACACCCAAUCCUAAAUCAUAUAAUGAACUUUACGCAUCACCGACGUUUAGGAGAAAUAGAUAUACUUCAUAUCCCGAAUGGUAUUAAAGUUGAUGUUUGGGCCAUACUAUCUCACAUCCCUUUUUACUUGAAAACACACCUUUUGGGGUCUUUUUAUAAAUAUAUUCGUGUUGUUUACUUUGACCUUUUUGGUAGAAAUAGAACCAUAACAUCUAUAUAAACAAAAGUACAUGAAGAAAGAGCUCUCCAAGCAAGGUUGUCGGCAAUGCUACUGCUGUAAAAAUGGAGAGGGCUAGAAUUAUAGACUUAGUUCGCAGAAUUAUUAAAAAGAAUGUUGUUAGGUGAUUGGACAUUACUAAGUAAACCAUUCUUAUUAAUAUCUUUAGCCAGCGGUGCGCUAUAUGCAAUUUGAUUAAUUAGAUAGUGAUGUGGUACUUCUAUUCAUAUAUUAAUAGUCACAUAAGCAAAGGUAGUAAGGACGAUUAAAGUCUAAAAAGUGCGUGAUUGCGAGCAGCUAGUCAAAUAAUAAUUGGAAUUAUUAACUUAUGUAAAAAAAAGAAGAAGAUAAAAAGUAGAAAUGCACAAAAUGAUAAUUGAGAUGAACUAUAUAAUACUAUAUUAAAAAGCAAAAAUACUGCAUACCCUCCUUAUUUUUCAUUCUAUUACCACUUUUCUCUCCUUUAGUUUUAAAAAUACAUUCUGCAUCUUAAGACAAACCAGAUUAUCUAAAGAACCAUAUUACCAUCCCUUAUAGAGAAAAAAAAAAAUCCCUCUUAGGGGUGAGCAUAUAGAAUAACCCGAAUUGGAAUCGUUUGAACCGAACCAAUCCAGCCAAUUUUGGGCAGUUCUAGAGGGCGUUGAUUCAGUUCUUGAUUCCAUAAAAUUGAAAUUGGUGAUCUUCAAUCUGGUUCUCGGUUCCAAGGAGAGAACCGGAUUGACGACACAGGACCAAUUUAAAUAUAUUUUUUCAUUUUUUAAAAAGUAAAGUGUAAACCCAAACUCUAAUACCCUCUCACACCUAGCUUAUUCCAAAUGAUGAAGUAAAUCUUUGUUUCUUUCAUACUAUUGCAUUGGUUCAUCCAAGUUGCUCCUUUUGUUUCUUGCUUCUUUCUUUGUUUUACCUUUUCUUCUUUUCCUACAAAUAUUCACCGAUUUUACCUCCCUUGCUUACUUGUACUUCAUGAGUCCAUCAUUUAUAAAAAAAAGAAUCCACCGAAUCCUCCUUCUUUUUUCAAGCACGCCCCCAUAAGCAUGGCCCCAUCAUCUCUCAAUAUUCUUCGCAAAUUUUGGAUGAAAUCCCAAAUUUGAAUUGUGACAUGGCUUGGGAAUUCAAUUAAUUAAAAACUUUUGACCAAGAUAUGGAAUCCAUCGAUUCUAUUGGAUUGCUUGAGAAAGAAAUUGGUUUGGUCUAGUCCCAAGACCAAUCAUCCGCUUCUCGAUUCCUAGUUCCUGAAUAAAGCUGAAUCAGAUCACGAACCGAUCAUCCCUAAUUCCCCUAACUCUAUGAUGCAAACUUGCAUUUCAAGAGACUAUUAAUACAAAGUGAUAAUGACUUGAAAAGUAGCACAAUAUUUGUUAUUUUUCUUAAAGAUAAGGCUAUGUUUGACAAUUAGGAUAAAAUUCAUAAUAGGAUAAUAUCAUAUCUCACGUUUGGUGUUGCUUAGGAUGAGAUAAAGUCGGAUAUAAGAAACAUAUAGCCCUAAUAAAAUUAUCAUAUGGGGAGGUAGGAUAAAGAUGGAUAAGAUUUUUAAUAUUUGUGAUAGGAAAUUAUUUUUCUCGAAUAAUUUUUUUUAAAUUAAUAAAAUUAAAAAUAUAUGUAAAUAUAAAUAAUAUUUGAAUUCUAAUAUACAAAAUUCAAAAUAACAAAAAAUAAAAAAAUAUUUUUAAAAUUUAAUCUUAUUAUUAUUUAUAAAUUCGAAUUUAAUUUUUUUUCUUAUAAUAUAAAUCCAAUGUUAGAUAUAACUUUAGGUAUUUUAGUAUUUUAGAUAUAUUAGUAUAAUUUACUAUUCAAUAAGAUUUUAUUAGAGAAUGAUGGAAGGGGAAAAAGAAAUAUAAAUGAAAGUAAUUUUAAAAAAAAAAGAUAGGAAAAAUUACAAAAAGCAAAUAAAAAUAAAGUAGGUAAAAAUUUCACAAGAGAUUUUUACUAUCUCCAUUUGUGAACUUUUACAUUCAUUUACACUAAUAUGCUAUUUAUAUAAAAAAUAUAUGAUAUAAUAUGAAUAUAUUCAACUUUAUUAUUGCAAUUUACCAAAUAAUGGACAGGAUAUCGCAAAAUCCCCAAAUUUCAUGCCUUAACCUAUCAAGUCUAAUUUUGGUUAUAAAUCUAGACAAUCAAAUAUAGCCUAAGUACAUUGAAAGUUCUUGUUAAGAAAGUACAAUCGAGUUUUAAAACUUUCAAAAAGUGCAAUUAAGUUCUAAAACUUAUCAACUAAGUGUAAUCUAAGUCUUUCAUUAACUUCAUCCAACAUGAUUAACGAAAAAGAUUAGCGUGACCUUUUUUUUUUUAUAAUUAUUUUCUCUCUCACACAUAGCAUUGAUGUGGCUAAAAUAUGAAACAUAAAACUAAGACGACCCAUUGGCUUAGAUCCAACGACCAUCACUAGUCAUUGCAGACCCUUUCGAUGAUAGUGAGGUAGUCGCUUGGUUUUUGUUUAUAUAUAUAUAUAUAUUUUUUUUGUGUUCAUUUUUUAAAAUAAAAAAAGAUUUGAAGCAAAAUGACAUUGUUACGUUUCAUGUUUUAGCUAUGUCAACAUCAUGUGAGAGAGAAAAUAUGAAAAAUAAAUAAAUCACCUCACCGUUUUUUGAUAGUCAAAUUGGAUGGAAUGAAUAAAAUGACUUGAUUGCAUUUUUUUUAUUAAAAAAAAAAAUUUAAGUGAACUUAUCUCUAUUUAUCAUUAAGAAAGUCUGUAUCUUAUUGGACUACUUCAAAAACCGCAAACUACUAAGAACUGGCGCUCAAAGAUUCAUUAUAUUUCUUUAGAACUUUCAAUUGACAGUUCUAGAGGAGAGAGUUAUGAUCAAGUAAACAACUAAUAUGCUGUAAAGAUGGCUCGCAAGAAAGGAGAUGAAAAGUACUUGCCCCACGCUGAAGAGGUCAAUUGCACAAUGCAAUGAAACAAUUCAUUUUCAAACGUGCAAGGACGCCCACGCAUUAUGCUUUGAAUAGGAGAAGAGAAGAACCACAUUGUGUUCUUUUGGGCUCAUAUGCAUUACCCGCAUCCAAUUAAAUCAAAAGGCCUUCUUAGCUUGUCAUUGAAUAGAUUUCUGUCCCUAUAUCUCCAUGUUUUCGCGAGACAAGAGACUGCAUCUCCUUCCAAUCAUUGGUAGUCAAUUCUUCGGGGCAAGAAAGAAACAAACCCUAAAAUCCGAAUACAGCCAAGAACAAGAAUUCACUUCUUUCCCAUCCCGCCAAUCCACAGCCCUCGUAACUUCGACUGGAUCCCCAUCUCGAAUUCAUGUCACGACCCAAGAAAACAAAUUAGGAAGCAAACCUGCGAACCGUUCUAUAUAUGCGCCAACAAUGCCUCUGUUAGAUGUAUGCCCUAAAGCUGUUAUGUAAUAGUUAAAUAGUUACAUAUUAGGGAUUUCAAUUAUACAUAUAAAAUUAUGUUCUUUUUAUUUUUAAAAAGAGAAUUGAUUAAUUAAUUAAUUAUUCAUUUACUUAAUUAAUUAAUUAAUUAACUAAUUAAAAAAUUAAAUUAAAGCUUCAUGCAUGUGCACGAAUUCGUGCACAUGCACGAAGCGUAAUGGUUAGCGGUUGCUGACCAUUAUGCACGAAGCAUGGAUGGUCAGCAACCGCUGACCAUCAUGCCAAGAUCGUGCAUGAGCAGUUGCUCAUGCACGAUCGUCUGCUAUGGACGAUCAGCAACGGUUGCUGAUCGAUGGACGAUCAGCAACCGUUGCUGGUCGGUUUUAUUAUAAAAGCAAUUGAGGGACGAGAGUUAAAGUGCUGCUGAAAAAUAAAAAGGAGACUUCAAGUGUUUUGUCUUCUUGUUCCGGAUCAGCUCUUCACCAUGAACAAAAAUUUGAAGUUCUGCUAGUUGCUGAAUAUUGAGUAAAAGUGUGCGUGUUCUUGUGUCUACGAGACACGAGGAAGAAAAACAAUUCUCUCGUUCGGGCCGUGACUAUUAUACAUCAAGAAUACAACGGAUUGUUUCCACGUGAUUGCUAGCAAGAUCGAAGUGGUGAAUAUCCGAAAGUUCUCUCUUCUGUUCGACGUUCGUUGUUGGUGUGUCUGAACUAGAGGUCCGACACUUGUGGGACUCGAACUGUGGAACAUCCAAACCGACUCGUUUCAAAGCGCGCUUCGAGAGGUAUUUCAUUUAACUCCCUUUUAUGUUUAGAUUUUUGAUUAAAACGCACGAACAACGCCUUAGGAGAAUCAUGUGUAAUAUAUAUCUUUAUUUCCGCUGCGUUCAUUUCGUUAAUUUCUCUUAUACAUGAUUCUUGAAACCCCAACAGUGGUAUCAGAGCCAACCUUAGGCAUUUUUCGUGCGUUUAAUUGAUUUGUAGUUCAAAUAUAUUUUUGCGUUCUAAUGGCCAAUUUAUUUUUGUUAAGAGAAUUGGUUCUCUUACUCUUAUGUGGCCUAUAGAAGUUGAUUAAUUUAUGUGAUAAAUUUAAUCAACUAAGCAAAAAUUAGAACUAAAUCAAUUUUGAAUAAAAAAUCCAUAACUUGUUAUAUUUUGUGUUUAUAUUCUACAAAUGAUAUGCAGAAUUUUAUGCAUGCCUUCCAGAGCUUUAAAUUUUGAAUUUAUGGCUCGUAAGGAAGGGUGGUGAUCAUGGAAAAAUCCCUAAUUGUUGUAUGGAUGAAUGUAUGAUGAUUACAUGUAUUCUUUUUGGGGAUGUAAUUAUUAAAUGGAGGCUACGUCCUUCCUUUUAUAUUUAUUUUUAUGAAAUGUAAUUUUAGUAUAGUUUAGUAUUUCAAUUAUUGAUGUAAAUACUACAAGAGAGGAGGAGCCAUUGGAGGAGCCAUUAAACUGGUGAGCUCUCUGGGCCCGGUCUUUGAAGAGUUCAAAGAUUGAAGAAAAAGUGAAGAGCAGGUCCAUAUUAUUAAAACAUUAAAAUGGCUAAAUGGGUCUCUUUGGCUCGAGACCCAUUGAACCAUAAUUCCAUGAUCACCACAUAGGAUAGAUGUUUAUGUGAUAUCUAUUUAUUUAUUGUGUUUAUGGUAUCGUGCAUGUUAAACCGGUUAAUGUGCAAAGUGAGACCGUUAAUAACGACCAAAAUCUCCUUACAAAGAAUAUUAAGUCGAAACGGGUUUCAAACUCGUGGCCUUCCAUCGUCGUGGUUUGAUCCAAUAUUAUAGUGGUUAACUAACUGGUUAUAGAUACAUAGGGGUUAAUUACCAUUUAUAAUAUUGGACCACUCUAUUAUGCAUAUGAUGCUGUGGGGUUGGAGCCAAAUGAUUUCUAAUAACUGUCAGGUGAGGGAAUCAUUUGUGUUUUCAAUAGUUGCAUGAGACGAUGGGCUAGAUUUAACUAUGAUCAUGAUGCCAAUAACUGUUAGGUGAGGCUUUCAUGGUCUAGAGGCCGAAGUUAUGAUUGGACUCGCAUAUGAUGCGUUGAACAAGCUGGUUCACUCACUAAGUUCAUAGGACACCAAUAACUGUUAGGUGAGGUGAACUUUGGGCUAGUGGGACUCUAAUCCCCACCAGUAAUCUUUACCCAACAAAGAUUACCGCUUCCCAUCUUAAGGAGUAUGGGAUUCGAAUAUAAAUUUAGUGGGAGGAUCUAUUUCAUUUAAAGGCCAAAAUGAAAUAGUUGCUUUGAAAGAUACAACGGCUAACAAUUUAUUUUCUGCAACAGAUAUAUUAUUACUCUGAAAAUGGUGACCACAAACCUACUCGCUUCUAUACUUGACAAGAAUUGUUUGACUGGACCCGAUUUCAUUGACUGGGUGAGGAAUUUGAGAAUUGUUCUCAAUUCAGAAAAAAAUUGGGUAUGUGCUUGAUGAAAAGAGGCCAACCUCCUUUCCUGAGGGUGGGACCCAAGAGGAGCCUGUCACUUAUGAUAAGUGGCGUGAUGAUGACUUAAAAGUUAGGUCAUAUAUGCUUGCUUCUAUGAAUAAUGAAUUACAGAAGAAGUAUGAAUCUAUGGAAGAUGCUGGGUCAAUCAUUUUGCACUUAAAUGAAUACUUUGAUGAGAAUGGUCGAACCUCUAGAUAUGAGAUAUCUAAGGCAUUGCACCGUAUGAGGAUGGCUGAAGGAUCAUCUGUUAAUGAUCAUGCUUUGAAAAUGAUUUGGCACAUUGAAGAAUUGGCUAGGCUGAAUCUCGUUAUGGACAAUGAAUUAGCUGUGGAUUUGAUCCUCCAAUCUUUACCUGAUUCCUUCUCUGGUUUUGUCCAAAACUUCCACAUGCAUAAGAUGGAGAAAACUCUUGCUGAGUUACAUAGCAUGCUGGUAGUUUAUGAGAAUGAAAUGUAUAACACGAGGCCAAAUGUAGUGGCUAUGGCUAAGGCUUCUUCUUCAAAGGGUAAGACUAUUUUAAAGAAGAAUAAAUGGAAGAGGCCUGCCAAACCUGUUGUGCAACCAAAACCCAUCAUUGAUAAAUGGAAAUGUCAUUACUGUGGUGUCAAAGGGCACUGGAGGAAGAACUGUNNNNNNNNNNNNNNNNNNNNNNNNNNNNNNNNNNNNNNNNNNNNNNNNNNNNNNNNNNNNNNNNNNNNNNNNNNNNNNNNNNNNNNNNNNNNNNNNNNNNGAGCACCUUCGUUUUCCCAAGAACCAACCUUAUGAAGAUAUGGUGUCUAUACUUAUUGAAACCAAUCUUAUGGUUAGUGCUGAAUCCAGCUCAUGGAUUCUAGAUUCUGCUACAACUUCACAUAUUUGUAUGUCUUUGCAGAAUCUGGAAAUAAGCAGGAUGCUAGGGCGAAAUGAGAUUGUCCUGACGUUUGCCAAUGGAGCAAGAGUUGCUGCAUUAGCUAUAGGGACUUUUCAUUUAUGUUUGCCUUUUGGACAUGUAAUGUUUUUAAAGAACUGUUUGCAUUAUAAGAAUGCUGUUAGGAACAUCAUCUCUAUACCUCGUUUGGGUAAAGAGAAUUAUGAAUUUUCUUUUGCUGAUGAUGUAUGUUCUAUUUAUCAUAAUAGAAUAUGUGUUGGUUCUAGCUUAUUAACCAACAAUCUUUAUACCAUUACAAUGUCCGGUAAUGCGAUUACCAAUGUCAAUAAGCAAAAUAGAAUUGAUAUAAAUGCCAUAACUAAUAAACGCCCUAGAGACGGUCCAAAUAAAAAAUAUGUUUGGCAUCUCCAAUUAGGUCAUAUUGGAGAAGAUAGAAUUAACAAAUUGAGUAAUGAUGGAUACAUUGAUCCUUCAAAUUUUGAGUCAUACUCAACUUGUGAGGCUUGUCUUCUAGGAAAAAUGACCAAAGCGCCUUUUGUGGGACAAAGUGCGCGAGCUGUUAACUUAUUAGAAUUAAUACAUACAGAUGUAUGUGGACCAAUUAAUGAAACUGCUAGAGGUGGUUAUAAUUACUUCAUUACCUUCACCGAUGAUCAGUCACGGUAUGGUUAUUUAUAUCUCAUGAAGUAUAAAUCUGAAUCCUUUGAAAAGUUCAAGGAAUUCAAGGCUGAAGUUGAGAAACAAACAGGAAAAUGUAUUAAGGCUCUUCGAUUAGAUCGAGGAGGUGAAUACCUUAGUACUGAAUUCCUGGACUUUCUUAAAGAGAAUGACAUUUUAUCAUAAUGGACACCUCCUGGAACUUCAGAAUAUAAUAGUGUAUCUGAACGAAGAAAUCGUACUUUAUUAGAUAUGGUACGAUCUAUGAUGAGUUACACCGAUUUGCCAAUAUCCCUUUGGGGAUAUGCCCUUGAGACAACUGUAUAUAUACUGAAUAGAGUGCCGUCCAAAUCUGUUCCAACUAUGCCCUAUGAGAUAUGGCAUAGUAGGAAACCUAGUCUUAGUCAUAUUAAGAUUUGGGGUUGUCCAGCUUUUGUGAAAAAGCUGAAAAUGGAAAAAUUGGAGGCAAGAUCUGAACAAGGUCGCUUCAUUGGAUAUCCAAAUGAAACUCUUGGAUAUUAUUUCUAUUUUCAUUCAGACCAAAGAAUUUUGGUAUGCAAGCACGCUUCUUUUUUGGAGAAUCAGUUCAUCCAAGAAAGUGGUGCUGGGCGGAAAAUAGUCUUACAAGAAGAAAAUAAUGAAGUAUCAAACAACCGAGUUCAGAUACCAAUCUCUGAUUCAGUGGGAGCUUCUGAUACACAACCUCUUAGGAGAAGUGCGAGAAUGUCUCGUUCACCUGCUCGUUAUAGACACUCGGUUGAUCAUAUUGAACCAUUAUUCAUUGUGAAUGAUAGUGAUCAACCCGGUGAUCCUAAAACAUAUGAGGAGGCGAUGUUGGACAUCGAUUCUGGUAAAUGGCUAGAAGCCAUGAAAUCCGAAAUGGAUUCAAUGUAUUCCAAUGAGGUAUGGACCUUGACUGACCUGCCUGAUAGUAUUGUACCAAUUGGCUGUAAAUGGAUCUUCAAGAGGAAGAUGAAUGUUGAAGGUCAAAUUGGAAUUUACAAAGCACAGCUGAUGAUGAAAGGAUAUCAUCAAAAAGAAGGAAUUGAUUAUGACGAAACUUUCUCACCUGUGGCCAUGCUAAAAUCCAUUCGGAUUAUGUUGGCUAUAGCUGCACACCUUGAUUAUGAGAUAUUCCAGAUGGAUGUCAAAACGGCUUUUUUAAAUGGUUUUCUCGAUGAGGACAUCUAUAUGGAACAGCCACAGGGUUUUGAAUCAAAUAGUGAAAAACAGAAGGUGUGUAAGCUUAAGAGAUCCAUUUAUGGACUCAAACAAGCCUCCAGAAGUUGGAACAUCCGUUUUGAUGAGGUAGUCAAAUCGUUUGGCUUUAUAAAAAAUCCGGAUGAACCUUGUGUAUAUAAGAAGAUCAGUGGGAGUGCAAUUGCAUUUCUGGUUUUGUAUGUCGAUGAUAUACUUUUGAUUGGAAAUGAUGUACCAAUGAUAUCAUCGAUAAAACUAUUCUUGUCACGGAAAUUCUCCAUGAAAGAUUUAGGAGAGGCAACCUACAUUUUAGGUAUCAAGAUCUAUAGAGAUAGAUCAAGACGAUUGAUUGGCCUCUCACAAUCUACGUACAUAGACAAAGUGUUAACACGGUUUAACAUACAAUGUUCCAAGAGAGGAUUAUUGCCUUUUAGGUAAGGGAUCUGUCUUUCUAAGGAGAUGUGUCCCAACACUCCUGAAGAAAGAGAGCGGAUGGCAAAGAUACCAUAUGCAUCCGCUAUUGGAAGCAUAAUGUAUGCUAUGCUAUGUACUAGACCUGAUAUUGCGCAUGCUGUAAGUAUUACUAGCAGAUAUCAGUCUGAUCCAGGAGAAGAGCAUUGGAUAGCAGUCAAGAAUAUUCUUAAGUACUUGCGAAGGACUAAAGAUUUAUUCUUGAUAUAUGGAGAAGGAGAAUUUAAAAUUGUAGCUUAUACUGAUUCUGAUUUUCAAUCGGAUCCUAAUGAUUAUAAGUCUACAUCUGGGUUUGUCUUUACAUUCAAUGGUGGUGCAGUUAGUUAAAAAAGUUCCAAACAAAGUAUAACUGCCGAUUCUACCACUGAGGCAGAGUAUGUAGCUGCUUCUGAAGUAGCAAAGGAAGCCGCUUGGAUGAAGAAGUUUAUUACUGAACUUGGAGUCGUUCCUUUAAUUGAGCAACCGAUCACAUUGUUUUGUGACAACAAUGGGGCGAUAGCUCAAGCUAAGGAACCAAGGUCUCACCAAAAGUCCAAGCACAUCGAGAGACGCUUCCAUCUCAUCAGAGAAAUUGUUGGGAGAGGUGAUAUCGCCUUGCAGAAAAUUGCCUCAGCAGAAAACGUGGCAGAUCCCUUCACUAAGGCCUUAAGGUCUUCUUUUGAAAGACAUAUUGACAAAAUGGGUUUGAGGUACCAGACAAGUUGGCUUUAGUGCAAGUGGAAGAUUGUUGGAUGUAUGCCCUAAAGCUACUAUGUAAUGGUUACAUAUUGGGGAUUUCAGUUGUACUUUCAUUAUUAUUAUUUAAUUAAUGACAAUGACAUAUUCAUUCAUUUGUCCAAUUAUUUUAUAUUGAUAAAUGAUUCCAUAAGAUCAGUUGCAACUAGACUUAUUCUUGAGACGUCAAGAAUAUAUGUGACUGGUUCAUAGUUAGACUGAAUCUUUAAAUUGUUCCCGGUCGAUGGAUUAUUGAGUGGAUAUUAAUAAUCCUGUUGAGGCCGGUGUGUUCUUAACUUCGUCAUUAAGUAUUGGAUACUUAAGGGAAUGAUGAGUUACAUGUCAUUGGGUAUUAUGAUGCCUGAGUUAGAACACAGGUGUUUGUAUUAGACAAAUUCACUGAACGUGACGCAUAUGGAACGAUUAGCGACAUGGAAGCUUUUAGCGUGGUCAAUGUCUAAUUGUUCAUGCUUUGGUCUUGUGUAAAUAAUCCUUAGACCUGAGGCACAGUGUUAACUUGUGUAUUGAACAACUAUGGUUCACAGGUGCACAUAAUGCCGGGUCAUUGAUCCGUCUUUAUACCUGAUGGUCAUAAUUUGUUCAUAUAUGAAGUUACACGUGUGCGCAAUAUGAAAUCUGUCUCCUUGUUAUAUGCAAGGUAUGAUAAUGAUGUCCUAUGCAAUCUAAUUGUGACAAUGCAUUGAAAUCCUCGGCCGGGGUUGUAACUGAGAAUAAAUUGUUUAUGUCUCGAAUAAAAUGCAUGUCAAUUAGAUUUGUGCAUAUGAUCGAAUUAAUGACUUGACAAAUAUUUCAUGGUCUUUGUUUGAUCAGGACAUAGUAAGACAGAGAGAUUGAAUUACACUGUAGCCAAAGCUGACAGGUUCAUUAUGUUCUUAAAGUAUUCACACUAUCUGGGUAGCCAUGACAUAUUGCUAGAUGUCAAUCGUGACUUGUAGGAUCUAAAAGAUUAACCGGGACAAUUAAUUCUUUUGGAAGUACUGAUGUGUUAGUACAAGUCUUACUACCAGCUUAGUGAUGAACCUAGGGAUGUCACACACCAUAAACAAUUAGGAUGACGUGGAACAAGAGAGAAAUAUUAUUGCAAAUGUGUUUGCAAUUACUGCAAUCGAAUUGAGUUGAUUUGAAAUUAAAUUAAAUGAGAUUUAAUUUAAUUUGUAUUAUAGUCACGAGCCUACUUGCAUAUGAUGCACACGCAUGCCCAAAGUGGAUAUAUGUUAACAUACCAAACAAGUUGGCUUUAGUGCAAGUGGGAGAUUGUUAGAUGUAUGCCCUAAAGCUGUUAUGUAAUAGUUAAAUAGUUACAUAUUAGGGAUUUCAAUUGUACAUAUAAAAUUAUGUUCUUUUUAUUUUUAAAAAGAGAAUUGAUUAAUUAAUUAAUUAUUCAUUUAAUUAAUUAAUUAUUCAUUUACUUAUUUAAUUAAUUAAUUAACUAAUUAAAAAAAUAAAUUAAAGCUUCAUGCAUGUGCACGAAUUCGUGCACAUGCACGAAGCGUAAUGGUCAGCGGUUGUUGACCAUUAUGCACGAAGCAUGGAUGGUCAGCAACCGCUGACCAUCAUGCCAAGAUCGUGCAUGAGCAACCGCUCAUGCACGAUCGUCUGCUAUGGACGAUCAACAACGGUUGUUGAUCGUCCAUUGAUGAGCAACUGUUGCUGGUCGGUUUUAUUAUAAAAGCAAUUGAGGGACGAGAGUUAAAGUGCUGCUGAAAAAUAAAAAGGAGACUUCAAGUGUUUUGUCUUCUUGUUCCGGAUCAGCUCUUCACCAUGAACAAAAAUUUGAAGUUCUGCUAGUUGUUGAAUAUUGAGUAAAAGUGUGCGUGUUCUUGUGUCUUCGAGACACGAGGAAGAAAAACAAUUCUCUCGUUCGGGCCGUGACUAUUAUACAUCAAGAAUACAACGGAUUGUUUUCACGUGAUUGCUAGCAAGAUUGAAGUAGUGAAUAUCCGAAAGUUCUCUCUUCUGUUCGACGUUCGUUAUUGGUGUGUCUGAACUAGAGGUCCGACACUUGUGGGACUCGAACUGUGGAACAUCCAAACCGACUCGUUUCAAAGCGCGCUUCGAGAGGUAUUUCGUUUAACUCCCUUUUAUGUUUAGAUUUUUGAUUAAAAUGCACGAACAACGCCUUCCGCUGCGUUCAUUUCGUUAAUUUCUCUUAUACAUGAUUCUUGAAACCCCAACAGCCUCAUCUGUUUUGCAGGGUCUCUCGCGUACAAGCCAUGUUCUUGCUUCUGAUCCUGGUCUCAGUCUUCCUCGGUUCUCAGGAAGCUUAUUCUUCAACUUCUUCUAGCCUUGAGCCUACAAACUACUUUUUCCCUUCUUUUGACCCCAGCUCUUGCACCUGCAAGGAGCUCAUUUGCAUGGGUUCGGCGAGCUUGCGAGAAAGGUAUUUGAACAUCACACUAGAGCUGGAGGAGCAGGGUAAUUCGAGCCUUGUGCCCAUGUCGACGAACUAGGUAGGGCGGGCUCUUUAUUCCUGGCCGGUCGUGGCUUGGCCUGCCAUGAUCUCUACCACAUUUGCUGUCAGGAUCACCACAUUGCCGAAUUCCAUAGCCUUUGGCAACGGGAUGGCUUUUCUUUUUGCACAGGAUAAUAGCUCCUCACCACCGGAUAGUUACGGCUCAUAUAUCUGGAUUCUUGAUCGGUCCACUCAAGGUACCUCCACCUAAUCCUUUGUUAGAUGAAUAUGAAAUCUGUGGUACUUUGCCGGAGUGUUGAUUGAAAGACAAUCUCUCUUCGAUUGAAUAUAUAUAGGUGGCGUUGUCCGACAACUGGCCGUGGAGCUGGAUACUUUCAUGAACGAGUUUGAUCCCGAUGGGAACCACGUAGGCAGACACGACAAGUGUUAUUAAUUUAGUCUAUGCUGAGAGCCUAAAUAGCACAGGAGUAAACCUAAAAAGUGGAAGGGACAUUAGAGUCAAAAUUGACUAUUAUGGCUAUAAAUAUAAUCUCAGUGACAUAUUCUGGGAAUUCGCUAGUAAGUGUUCUCAAUCAUUCGAUCAAAAUGUCGUAAACGGUCCCAGUCUUGUGUAUGUGGGCUUUUUGGGAUCUACUGGGCCUCUACCCGAAAGCCAUCAGGUCAUUAAUUGGGUAUUCAUCUCUUUUCCUUUAUCUAUGGAGGAGCGGCUCAAGAGAGACAACAGAUCAAAACUGCACUGAUUCUGGUCGUGCCAAGCGUGAUGACAGUAUUGUUGAUCGCGAUAUUCGUCUACCUACUCGUUGAGAAAGCGCCCAGGAAGAGAAACAAGAAGGACGCUGACAUAGAGAGCCAAUGGAGGUAGGUUGUGAACGUUUCAAAGAUGUUCACCUGCAAUGAGGUAGCGAAGGCCACUCACCUGCUUGGUACUGGUGGUUUUGGAAGCCUUUACAAAGGAUUGAUAUCAGAUCCUCCGGUCAAAGUAGCCGUGAAAAAGAUCUCGACAACAUCAAAAUUGGGUCUGCUUCCGUACUUGUAUCACAUCCUUUUAGCACAUUUUCUUGAACAUGGUCCUGUCGAUAAGAUCUAAACAUUACGGAAGCAUAGUGCUGGAGCGAUUCUGUAUUUCGCUUUUGUUCAUAUUCAUCACUAAUCACCACAACUGCGAAGAUCCUUUGCAAAGUUGUUCUCAAUUUCACUAUCUGCCAAUUAACUUUAAGGCAAUUUUUCAACCUCAAAUUCAACAAGUGAAAGACUAUUUGGCAGAGAUAUCCACCGUUGGAAUGAUGAGGCACAAGAACAUAGUACAGCUCCAAGGUUGGUGCCAUGAGGGGGAACGACUUCUACUAGUCUAUCAAUACAUGGCCAACAGUAACCUUGACUGCUUUAUUGGCAAGUAGUCCCUCGGCUAGGAGACCCGAUACGAGAUCCUGACUGGCCUGGCGUCGGCAUUGCUUUGCCUCCACAAAGAAUGCAGGAACCCCAUGGUCCACAAAGACGUCAAGCCCAACAACGUCAUGCUGGACUCCAACUACAAUGCCUACUUGAGUGACUUUCCUCCGGAAUGACGCCUUAGUCAUGACCAUUCUUGCGGGCACCCCCGGGUACCUGGUCUCGGAGGUGGCAUACACAGGGAAGGCCACGUUGGAGUCGGACGUGUAGAGCUUCGGGAUGGUGGUCCUGGAGGUGGUGUGCGGGAGGAGGUCAAAGGGAAUCUUGUGAGAGAACAGCUUGGUGGAUAAUGUGUGGCGUCUCUAUGAAGGGCUCACUCUUGGAGUGCGUGGAUGGGAAAAUGGGAGGCCAAUUUGAGGAGGAGCAAGUGAAGAGGGCAUUGAUAGUAGGUCUUGCUUGCCUACACCUGAACUCUGUUUAGGCCAAGAAUGCAAAAGGUGGUCCAGAUUUUCUUGAACCCGAACAAGCCACUGAUGGAGUUGCCUGAGUCCCGACCCAGAGGGGUCUAUGUGCCGGUCUCAUUCUUGGGCUUGACCACCGCCACCUUCUCCUCCAGGACCAGGUUCGCCUUCCAUCCCUCAUAGCUCGAUUCGCUGCAUGAGAUUGAACUUGAGCAUGAAUUGGGGACAUCGGGAUUGUGAUGAUGCCAUCGAGAACUAGAGACUAAAUUGGAAAAUUUCAAGCAGUUCAUGCCUGAAUUGUACGGGAUUGAGUUUUCUUUUUGAGUACUUAUUAUGUUACACAUGUUGUGCAGAAUGAAUAUUCUUAUAAAGCUAGGUGUGUUUACGUUCCUCUGUGAAAAUUACAUCCUUACAUGAGUUGUGUUUCAAGGGGAAGGCGUUGCGAGAAUCCAGGCGGGGUUACCCGAGAAACCCUGUAUAGGGUUUCCCUUGUGGCCGGGCCCCUCGUGGGGGUUCCAUUUUUAUGGAGGGGGAAUCCUCUCUCUAUCCUGUCUUUCCAAGAUGUCAAAACCUUUUAAGAUCUCGCUUAGAACCGGAAAACAUCCUUACAUGAACUAGGGAAACAAUAGACGUACAUAUUUUGACCAAAAUGAAAUUGAGCUUCAGUAUUUCAAGUCAUGAUGCCUCAUGGUGGGAAUUACGUGGAGCACACAAAGAAGAAGACCCGUUUGAAUUAGGAACAAUUUAAUAUGUCGAUUCACAUUUUUUUUUUAAAAUCAAGGCUCAAAUUAAUCUAGUGAAAGAAAAUGAUUAACACCACGAAACACCCUAAACUCAUAUACAUAUGAAAAAUUUACAUAAAAUAAUUCUUUAAUCACAAAAAAUCCUUAACUUAUUGAAAACGUGGGAAGCAGCGUGUAAAUGUGACGAAGCAGGAAACCACCCUUAGUCCAUCCUCUCCAUUUUCAAGGGCCCUUGCUAGUUCCCGAUUUUCAGGUACUAAAAAGAUUUAAAAAAAGCUAAUUGGAAAAAAGAAAAAAAGAAAAGAAGACCCUAGAGAUGGCCAUAAAAAGUCAAUUAUUUUUUAUUCUUUAUUGUAAUUUCAACUUUUUCAAAUCACGAACAAUUUCUAUUGCUGGGAUUGUCUUUGUACAUUUACAAGGCUGUUCUCGUGGAAAUUUCAAAUACUAGGCAAAUUACAAUGGCCUUUAGUUAAUUUUGCUCUGUUGAUUUCACGAAAAAUAUAGCGCUUCUAGAAGUUUUUCAUGAAAUAUUUCUUUUAGAAAAAUGACAAUGUUUUCCGGUAUUUAACUAAAAUCUGAAAAUGAAAUGGAAAAUAUUUUCCAUUAUUCAAUAAAGAAAAUUUUUUCCUUCAUUUAUUCUUUUUUCAAUAAUUUUAUUUUAUUUUUUAAAUCAAUUUUUACAUUUAUUUAUUUUUUUACAUUUUUUUCUUCUUCUUCCUCGGCCACGACAACUAACCAUAGGCUAGCUCGAGUCUUACUAUAGGCUGGCAAAGUUCCUUGCCCUAGGCCAGCAAGCUCUAGCCUCAUUAGAUCCAAUGAGAUAGGCGAGGCUUGAGCCUUGCUAACUCGUUGGAUCUAGCAAGGCCCAAGCUCGCUUGAGGUUGUCGGGCUCACUUGGGUGAGGUGAGGCUUGACUUUGCUGGAAUCUAGCAAGCUUGAGCCUCAUCGGCUUGUGGCGAGGUUUAAGCUUGCUUGUGGUUGGUUGUUGGUCGUCGUCGCUUGCGACCAACCAUGGUGGGUGACAAGUCGAAGAAGAAGGAAAAAAGAAAAAAAAAGAAUUAAAAAGAAUUAAAAAAUCAUUUAAAAAAAAGGAAAAGGUGUUGGGUGAAAGAAAAAAAAAAUACUAGGUUUAGAAGUAAAAGAAUGAGAAUGGAAAAUGUUUUACACUUUCUAAAAAGUGAAAAACAUUUUCCCAUAUUUUAGAAAAAAUUUGUUGAUGGAAAAUGUUUACCAGUUUAUAUUCCGUUCAACAAAUGCUGAAAAAUCCUAAUUUUUUUUUUCAAAAGGUUAUUUUUUUAUGAAAUAAAUGAAGUCUUAAUUAGACCAUUUUAGACUUGACUGGAGUGAAAGGCAACAUGGGUUGACUUGGACAAGCGAAAAUGUUCUCGGGCUUUAUUUGACCCACUUUGGCCUGCCCAAGCUUGAUCAAAUUUAUGUGAAAAAGAUUAUGCUUUCUGUAUAGAGCGAUUUUAGGCUUGGCUUACCCAUUUAUAAAAUCCUUUCAAUUUGCAAAGGUAAUAUUGCUCAUUAUAGAAAAGGAGAGUGCCAAGAUAUGUAAUAUGAGUUUAUUGAUUUUAUCUAACGUGUAAUAUUAUGAGUUCCAAAAAUCAUUUUUAAUUGUUUUAUUGAUUAAUCAAAUUUUGAGAACUACAAAAUUUAAAAAGUUAAAAUAAAACAGGUUUUAGGGAAUAUCACAGCACCUACCGAAAUAGAGGAAUGGGUGGAAACAAAAAAAUAGAGGAAUGGGAGAACAGUUAAUCUAGAAACUGGAUUUGCUUUCUAGAGAUCACGAAUUUGACAGCGGGCGGGAGCGAGCGUGGAGUCAUUGACGAGCGUGGUCAUAAUUGGCAGAGCAGAGUCAAGUCAUAUCUCUUUUCACACGAUAACAACCACCACCCUUUGUAAAAGCCCUAAGGUCAAACCCCUCUUUUUAUUUUAUUUUUAUUUGGCAAAUAUUUAUUUUUGUUUUGUUUUAGGUCUAUUAUAGAUGAAUUAUAAAAUAUUGCAUUUACAGGGCUUCCUAAAACAUACCAACCAACCUAAAUGGAAAAAUUUAAAAAGUUACAAGGAGUUAGAAGAAGACUUAUCCAUUUCCUCACGAGCUCCGUGAACCAUACGCAUGUGAGUCUGAUAUUCUAUAAUUGACGAUAGGUUGUGCAUGACCGAACUUAUCAUGACUGUUGAUUAGUUGAAGCUAUCAAUCCAGAUUUAGGCAAGAAUUUCUCCCCAAAUGGACCCACUGAGAUUAAAAUCGACGCCACUUUGGGCUCACGAGGCAUUUUUGUUUCUAAGAUUUUUUUUUUCGAAAUCAUUCACUUUUGGCGAAAUAAACGCAUCCUUAGAAUUUAUUUAUUUCUCAAAAAUUAAAUAAUUCAGAUUUUUUUUUUCUAAAUUUGAUCAUUUUUAUCACUUGAUAAAAUCAUUCAAUGAAAAAUACUUUUAUUAUUGACACAAUUUAUGUCCGAAGAUUGUUGUGAAUGAUGAAAAUAUUAUUUCAUAUAUUUUUAUAAGUGAUACGGAAAAUUAUUUUUUAGAAAAAUAUUUCUUUGGAUUAUUAUUUUCGUUAAAUAAAUGGAGUCUUAGCUCUCAAAUUCCUAUGAUUUUGUUGACUUUUUUUUAUUGAUGUAUUGAUCCAGCGAAAAUGUGGGCGGGCGAUGGCGAUUGCCACUUUGGGUGGGUGCCCGUUAGACCUGUUAAAUGGGUGGGUCAAGUCAUAAAUGGUCCGACUCAAAUUGACCAAUUUAACUCGUUUAUGACCAAUUUAUUACAAUGCAAAAUUUUUGACCCAUACCCGACCCGACCUAUACUCGACUCAUACCCAACACAAAUUUAAUGAACAAUUUUUAUAAUUUUAAAAAUAAUUAUGUUAAUCGAAUAUUAAUUAUUUUUUAUUUUUUAAAAUUUAAAAUUAUAUUAAUUAAUUAUUUUUUAAAAUUUAAAAUUUUAAUUAUUUUAAUUUUUUAAGAAUAUAAUUUAAGAAUAUAAUUUAAUUUUUUUUUCUUUUUUUUUUUUUCUUCUUCUUCUUUGGCCGGCUGCCAACCAUGACAACAAUUGGCGAUCGGCCACAGGCGAGCCUUGAGCUCGCCUGACGUUGGCAAGCUCGAGUCUUGCCAGACGUUGGCAAGCUUGAGUCUCGCCGGACGUUGGCAAGGCCUCCGCCUUGCUAGAUUCGGUGAGCUCGAGCUCACCCCUCGUUGGAUCUGGUGAGGCUCGAGCCUCGCCUGAUGCCAGCGAGUUCAAGUCUUGCUAGAUCUGGCAAGCUUGAGCUCGCCUGACCUUGACGAGUUCAAGUCUCGCCAGAUCGGUGAGGCCUCCGCCUUGCCAGAUUCGGUAAUUUAAAAUUUUAAUUAUUUUAAUUUUUUAAGAAUAUAAUUUAAAUUUUUUUUUCUUUUUUUUUUUCUUCUUCUUCUUUGGCCGGCUGCCAACCAUGACAACAAUUGGCGAUCGGCCACAGGCGAGCCUUGAGCUCGCCUGACGUUGGCAAGCUCGAGUCUUGCCAGACGUUGGCAAGCUUGAGUCUCGCCGGACGUUGGCAAGGCCUCCGCCUUGCUAGAUUCGGUGAGCUCGAGCUCACCCCUCGUUGGAUCUGGUGAGGCUCGAGCCUCGCCUGAUGCCAGCGAGUUCAAGUCUUGCUAGAUCUGGCAAGCUUGAGCUCGCCUGACCUUGACAAGUUCAAGUCUCGCCAGAUCGGUGAGGCCUCCGCCUUGCCAGAUUCGGUGAGCUCGAGGCUUGUUGGCCAUUGUCAUACAGCCACCAGAAGGUGGAGGAAGAAAGAAAAAGGAAAAAAAGAAAAAAAGAAAAGAAAAUUAAAAUUAAAAUAAUUAUAAAUUUGAUUUUUACAAAAAAAUAUUUUUUAAAGUUAAAGAGAGAAGAGAGAGAUUGUGAGGUUUUGGUUAAAAGUGAGUUCUAAAUCCAACUCAUUUAAGAUCCGCUUAAAACCUGCUUUUCUUAAGUCUUUGAUCGUUAAACCUAUUUAACUACUUUUUCUCAAAAACUAAGUGACCCAUAUAUGACCAAUUUAUGAUUUAAAUGGGUCAUAUAUGGGUCUAAGACUCAUUUUUCCACCUCUAGGGCCCGUGUAUCAACGUCAUUGGCGUUCAUUGUGGGACCGGCCAUGGAAUUAGGUUUGCGUAUUCAACUCAACUGAAAAUGGUGCGAGGAUCAAGACAUGGGAGAUUGGUCGGUAUAAAUUAAUUUUCAGAAACUAAUAACAAAAUUAGGCAAAAGAAAAUAUACUUCUAGCCAAAUUCAUGUUUGCAUUAACAUAUUUUAUAGUGAAUUCAUCAUCUUUAUUUUAUUGCAUGUAGAGUGGAUCUAGUUAUGUUAGCGGUAUCGAUUUUCAAUAGUAUUACUAUUUCCUAUGCUCAUAACCUGAUAAUGAUCGACCAAAACUAUUGUGAUGAUCAAAAUUAGUGCUGCAAGGUGAAAAACGACAUUCCUAGUUAAUGCUUGCAUGACUUGUUAGGGAUCUUUUACACUGCUAAUGUGUGCUCAUAUGGCUGCAAUCAUAAAUCUAUGUAUAAAAUGCAUUGAAGCAGUAGAGGUAAAUAACGUGACGUUUUGAAAUGUGAGAGAGACUUCGGGGAAUGAGCCAUCAAUCACAAUGCAUUGCGCUGGAGGGGAUGGGUUGCAUGGACAUCGUGAUGAAAAACAUCAAACCCGAUUCUUUGGAACCCGAGAAGAGGAGCCGCCGAUUGCAAGAAUGUUGUCAAUGCUAGUUUCACUUCCAUUGAUCCUCCCAUUUCUUGCCACAGUUCGUAAGGUUAAUCGUCGUAGCCACAACACCCAUGCAAUAAGUUGACCGAGGUAGUUUUCUUUUCUCGACCAAAGAUCAAGAUAGAUCAUAUCAUUAGUUUAAUCACACUUACAUACGUCUAGUGGUCAAGAUAAUUUGUGCAAGUUUUGUAAUUCAUGGGAGGGCCCAAAGGGUGUUAGAAUUGAUGUUCGGGUGAAAUUAUUUUCAUGCCCCUUUUUAUUUUAAAUUGCAUCCUUUUGAGUCCUUUUUAUAAGUACAUUCAUUUUGUCGCCUUCUACUUUUUUGGUGAAAAUAGAACCAUAACAUCAACAUUAAUGCAAGUACGUAAAGAAAGAGCUCUCCAAACAAGGUUGUCGGCAAUGCUAUCGUUGUUAAAAUGGAUAGUAUGGAUAGUAUUGACACAUGAAUUUUUUUGAUGGGUGGCCUGAAUUUUUUUUUUUUGUGACCCAGGGAACCCACCGCACGGCCAGCAGUCGGGGAGUAAACCCUGGGGAGGCACGCAAGAAACCACCACCCAUGCACCCCGGGCAAGAUAUCACGCAGCGCUUCAGCCUCCCUGCUUCGCAGGGGCUUCGAAACUGGGACCUCCAGCGUGGAGUCCAGCAACCCUACCAUCCACGCUGCAACGAUGGGUGGUUGGCCUGAAAUUUUUUUGUUAGUUAUGAAAGAUUACAAAGACUCAGGUCAACUCAACUUGACUCGGGAUUGACCCGGACCGAUAGGACCUUGAUCCGAUCCGGCAAUUAAAAAAGUGCCCCUCUCUCUUUGGCCAAAAUUCCCAUACCACAUGGACUCACGUUCCCAUCAGUCAAAGUUCUCACUAUUCACAAUGGUUGCUUGGGCGUCUAUUUCUUUUGGUCAAGUGGCGCAAGGUUGGAAAACCGUAGAGAAGACAAAGGCGUCUCUUUCACACUCGAUUGUCUUCUUGCGUUCGCUGUGGGGGCAGUUGGAAAAACGGAGCUGCCUUUGGAAUUAAAGAACUUCCACGUUCGAAAGGAGAAAAGGACAGCGUCAAGGAAAAUAGGUCUUAUUUUAUUCCAAUAAAUCUUAGAAGGAGAAGGAGAGCACGGUUUUCCCUAGGCGAAGAUUCCCUAUCCUUAUCUUGGUCGCUCUCCAUUAGCCAGCAGUAACCAGCAGUCCGCCUUUACCGGCCACUGACGAGCCUCCUUCUUAAGAGAGACCAAGAACAGAGAGCAUGGACUGAGGAGAAUUGCGGCCUUUUUCGGGCGUCCAGAAGUCGCUCCCUCGAGGAUUCUCUCCGAGCCAUUUCUUUCCUUUUCUUUGCCCAACCUCGCCAUCGCAGAUAGCCGUGUCAUCAUUGUUGGUCCAGCAAGCGCAGUAAACCCUGUUUUGCCCCUGUUUUUCGGCUGUCAAGAUCCGAAGCAACUCGUACGUGUUUGAAGCCUCAUCGCCGGCGUGCACUCUCAUCGGCAAUACUUUUCAAACUUGUAAACUUAACCAGCAUCCUCAACCGACAACUCCUCCUUGGCGAGGUAAUGUUGAACCCUCUGCCUUUCUCUGUCACGAGUGGAACGCCGAGACUCGGUUUCUUCCGUUCAUGCUCGUGUCGGAUCUGAAUAGGUUGGUUGUGUUGAUUUUCGAACAUUUCUGAGAGACUUCUUUCGAGCCUGGAUGGGAGUUCAAGUCUUGAAACGGUUGAGUACUUUUUUCCUGAAAUCCACGUUCAUUACCUGUCUCACGAAAUGCCUAUAGGAGUGUCGGGUAACGUUUUUUAUUUUUGCAAAAAAUUUUGUUUAAAAAAAUAUAUAUUUUAUUUCUACUCUCGAAAAUAAAUAUAUAAAUGUUUUUACUUCUUUGUUUCAAAUUUAUAAUAUUUUUUAUUCCGAAAAAUAAAAUAAAAAAUUGAUUGAUGUUAUCAAAUUUAUUUGUGUUAUGAAGAACAAAAAAAAUAGAAAAACAUGAUGUUACCAAAUAUGUCCUAACAAUCCAGUGCAAGUUACUUUCCUUUUUUGUCUAACUUGAGAGCAUAUUGCCCGGAAUUAAGUCACCUUAAUUGUUUUUGAAAGUCUUUCCAAUGAUUGAAUGCGUAUUUUUUUUUUUCUCAAUCAUUCGUUUUUCUCGUGUUUUAUGCUCCCGAGGUCACCGACGGCGAUCGUCGGUGAGUUGAUGAUGUUGUAUCCAUGGAUGAGUGUUUGACCAUCAUGUGCAUCUAAAAUGGUUUUGCUUACAACGUACCUUUAUAUGCUUUGUCAUGACCAUUUCGUUUAUGUGUGAACGGGGUUGAUGAUAGACGUGGGUAUUGAUGGCUGGCGAUCUGAGGGGAGACUAAGCAAUAAAUUUGGUGGUGGUUCCGUGGUGAGCAAAGGCGAUGCUUGGUUUAAAGCUUUGGAGGUGUAAAUCAUGGAUGGAUCCUAUUUCUUUUUGAGGCGAUGCUAAGGGACCACCUUCGGAGGAUUGCAACAAAAACUUACAAAAACUUUCUUUUUCCAACACAAGCGCGUGGAAAUUGCCAAGUAAAACUCAGAGCUUUCUCCCUUUCAUGGAAAAUGUAUGGUUGAGGGUCCACCGUUUAUUAUCCAAAAACUUUCUUUCUCCAACAAGUGCGCGAAAGUUGCCAAGCAAAACACAGUUUUCUCCCUCCGAUGGAAAAUGUUUGGUUGAGGGUUCACCCUCUGUUUUCCAAGCUAACGGUAUUAUUAGCAAAUCAAUUUCCUCAUUUUGUCGUUUAUUGUAAAGGGUCCCUUCUUUUUGUACUCAUAAAUGGCCAAAGGUAAUUUAUUGUAAAGGGAAUUGAUUGGCCAGUUGUACUGUUAGUUUGGAAAACAGAUGGCGAACCCUCAGCCAUAUAUUUUUCAUAUGAGGGAGAUGCUAGCAUCACCCUUUUGUAAAAUAACACGGGGUGGAGUUCUGGAAAUGGGAAGUGAGCGUGGAAGACGACGAGAAUGUAAAAUAACACGGGGUGGAGUUCUGGAAAUGGGAAGUGAGCGUGGAAGACGACGAGAACGCAAGGAAGAGGAGACUGGGUUUGGUUCUAGUUAUGAUAGGGUUGGUGAUUUUCGGGCUUGGGAAUUGGCUUGAUGGACCCAGGCUUAGAGUGGGCUUGACGCUUCCCUUUAGUAAAAAUGGGCUUACGUUCUGGUAGGUUCCAAUGGGUCUAGUUGAUUUGGGCCUAAUCUGUUUCUAGUAAAUAGGGGCUUGGUUUAUUUCUGGAGGAAAUUGGGCUUUUGAAUUUCUACUGGAGAGAUAACUAGUAAGCCCUUUUGCCUGUGGUGGCCCGUGUCCAUGUGAAGCCCAUGCCUAAUCCCACACGAGGGUAAUAAUUUUAAAGAAAGGGGAAAAAUUCACAAAAGAAAAAAAAAAAUUCAGAAAAUGGCUAGGCAUAGAAUUCUUGAUUAUGUUGUUAAAUUUUAGUGAUAUAUUUAGCUUAGUUUUGGUUGAAUAACGUAACUCUUAAUUUUUUGAGUUUUAGUAGUUACUUUUGAGAUAGCUUUGACUUAGAUAGAUCAUUCUUUUAAGUAACAACUUCAACCCAAUUGAACUUUAACUCAUGGGGCUGCUAUCCUGGCCCUUAAUAACUGUGCUAUGUGAAUUUUGUAAUUGGUGCUUCAUUGAGUAUACUUUCGGACGCUUUAUCUUUAUUGCAUUGAUAAUGAUUGUCUACUUAUUUUCGAUUGCGCACUCAUGCAUGGAUAGCAUUUAGAGGCAUAGGUUAAUUAAAAAUGGUCAAAGAUUGCUUGACUUAUUUAGGUAACAAACCAAUCAAGUUAAAAGUACCAAAAGAGCAUUGGUUAGACAAUUAGUGUAAUUAAGUAUUGGUCUUAAAUCUCUAAUUGCAUAAGAAAUAAAGUAUACUCAUAUGCUUCACUUGACUUCUAGUUGACCUCAUAGACUAGUGGUGACUCAUAUUAUGGAUAGAUCAAUUUCAAUCGUAGUUUCCUAAUGUUGAGCAAGUUAAUAGUUUGGGAAAAUCCAUGCUUAUUGAAGAUUGUUGGUUCCAAACUUGACAUUACCUCCAAACCUAUCAUCUCCUUGACAUCAAUAGAUAAUGCUAGAAUUAUAAGCUUUUUUUUUUUUGGUUUGUUCUAGUAUUUUAGACUUACUUUGUAGAAUUGUUAAAAGGAAUCUUGUCAAGUGAUUGGAUAUUACUUGGCAAAUCAUUCUUAUUAGUAAGUUUUAAUAUCUCUAGCGAGUAGUACACUAUAUGCAAUUUGAGUAAUCAGACAAUGAUGUCUUCUAUUAAUAUAUUAAUAGUCACAUAAGCAAAAAUUAUUAACGUCUAAAAACUCAUGAGUACAAUAAACCAAUGAAAAUAAUUGUCGUGAGCCCUAACUUAUAUGGAAAAAGAUAAACAAGGGAAAUGCACAAAAUGAAAAUUGAGAUGUACUAUGAUAUCAUAUUAUAAAGGAAGCAUGCCAAAUACCCUCUCAUUUUUUCACCCAAUAAACCAAUGAAAUUAAUUGUUGUAAUCCCUAACUUAUAUGGAAAAAGAUAAACAAGGGAAAUGCGCAAAAUGAAAAUUGAGAUGUACUAUGAUAUCAUAUUAUAAAGGAAGCAUGCCAAAUACCCUCCUCAUUUUUUCACCUUUUUGCUCUAUUACAACUUUCUCUCCUUUAUUUUUUUUAAAGGGAUAAGUGCACUAAAAAUUUUAAAAAUUGUUAAAAGGUGCAAUUAAAUCCUUAAAAACUUAUCAAAUUGAUGCAAUCGAGUCAUUCUAUUAAGUCCUUCUUAUUGUUUUUAGUCAAAAGCUCUAUCCUACUUGGUUAAUGUAAAAUGUUUAUUGCUAUUUUCUCUCUCCUAUGUAACGUUGACGUUACUAAAACAUGAAACAUGAAGCUAAAAUGACAUUGUUUUUAUUUCAAACCAAAUUUGAGUUAAAUUAGAUUAAAAAUAAAAAUGCCAUUUUGUUUUAUGAAAUAUGAAAAAAGAACACAAAACACAUCGACCCUUGUCGCUAUCAUUCCACCAUUACUAAAAAUGGCUGGCAAUGGUGGGGCGAUGCUCGAUUGCUCAGGUCUCUAGCUAACAUCCACUAGUUCCUAGGUCUUUAGUCCUCACCUAAGGUUGAAAUUGUUGUAGGGCACCAUUCUUUUUUUUUUUUUUCUCUCUCUCUCCUUUUUUAUGUCCCUUUUUAAAAAAUGUAACCUUUUAUUUAAAAUUUGGGUAAAAAAUAAUUAGAUUUAGACCAAAACGAUAUCACUUUAGUAUUAUGUUUUUUGUUUAGUGAUGUCAGCAUCACAUAGUAUAGAGAAAAUAGUAAACAAGUCAUGUUAGUUUUUUUUUUCCCAUUACUCAAGCUGGAUAGAGUUAAUGACAAGACUUGAUUACAUUAAUUUAUAAAUCUUUGAACUUAAUUGCACUUUUGAAAAUUUUAAGACUCAAUUGCAUUUUGGUGAUAAAUUUUAAAAUUUCAAAUAUAUUUAUCCCUUUUUUAAAAUACUGUUCCGCUUCUUAUUAAACAAAUUAUCCAAAGAACCAAAUCAGUCUCCCAUACAAACAAUAUCAACCUAGAUCUAAUAUUACCAACCACAAACUCAUAACAUAUCUCCAAAGCCCAGUCUUUUGCACCCACCAACACUUGCACUCGUCAAUCAUGGCUACCUAUCACAAGCAUUGCAGUUGUGCUCUCUAGCACAAGCCCACCGUCUCUCUCGUCUCUGCCUCUAUCUCUCUCGCAAGGACCGUGAAAGGGCAUGGUGACCUCAUGCUGGAGGGUGGUGGAGGCCGUGGAGACAGAUGACGGUUGGAAGUUGUUGGGGGUGGACGGGAGUUGGUGAAAUCAGAAUUUGUGCUAAGGAAUAAGAAACGGUUCUGUAAGUCUAGUCUGUCAACCGAUAUGAGGUAUACGGUUAGGUAUCCAACGUAAAACUUAUGGUACAAACUCUUAUUUCGAUAUUAAAAACAAAGGAUGCAAAGCGUAUUCUCUAAGCUUUGUAGUCAUUACGCCGAAGUGGUCAAUUGCGCAAUGAAGUGAAACAUGUCAUUUUCCAACGUGCAUGGACACAUUAUGCUUUGACUAGGAAAAUAAAAAUCGCAAUUGUUCUUUUGGGCUUCCAUUUCUGCUGCAUCCACUUAAAUCGAAUUGCCUCUUUAGCUUAGCACUCGUAACUUAAAUUGGAUCACCAUCUCUUGACUCAUGUCAUCACCCAACACAAAAAAAUUAGGCACUAACAAUGCCUCAUUUGGUGUUACAGGAUCUCUCAUGUCCAAACCAUGUUCUUGCUUCUGAUCCUAGUCUCACUCUUCCUCGGUUCUCAGCAAGCUUAUUCCUCAACUUCCUCUUCAAGUCUUGAGCCUACAAGUUUCUUUUUCCCUUCUUUCAACCCUGGCUCUUGCACUAGUAAAGAGCUCAUUUGCAUGGGCUCGGUAAGCUCGCGAGAUGGGUAUUUGAACAUCACGCCAGAGCAAGGUAAUUCGAGCCUUGCUUUAAUGCCGACAAACCAGGUAGGGCGGGUUCUUUAUUCCCAACCAGUGGUUGCUUGGCCUGCCAUGAUCUCCACCACGUUCACCAUCAGGAUCACCCCAUCGCUGAAUUCCACAGUCUCUGGUGACGGGAUGGCUUUCCUUUUCGCACAGGACAAAAGCCCCUCACCACCAAAUAGUACUGGCUCAUACAUGGGGAUUCUUGAUCGGUCUACUCAAGGUACUUCCACCCAAUCUUUGGUUAGAUGAAUACCAAAUCUGUGGCACUUUGUUAUAGAGUGUUGAUCAAAAAAUGAUUUCUUUUCAACUAAAUAUUUAGGUGGUGUUGUUCGACAACUAGCCGUGGAGAUGGACACUUACAUGAACGAGUUUGAUAUUGACGGGAACCACGUAGGCAUAGACACGAUGAGCACUACUAACUCAGCCGUCAACCAGAGCCUAAAGAGCACAGGAGUGAACCUAAGAAGUGGAAGGGACAUCAUGGUUGAAAUUGAAUAUGAUGGCUAUAAAAAUGAAUUCCAAAUCUCAAUAGCAUAUUCUGGGAAUUCGCUAACAAGUGUUCUCAAUUAUUCGAUCAAAAUGUCGGAAACGGUCCCUAGGCUCGUGUACGUGGGCUUUUCGGGAGGCACUGGUCCUCUUCCCGAAAGCCACAAGGUGAUUAACUGGGCAUUCAGCUCUUUUCCUUUAUCUAUGGCGGAUAAGCGGCUCAAGAGAGACAACAGGAUCAAAACCAUACUGGUUCUGGUUGUGCCAAGCGUGAUGACGGUAUUGUUCAUCAUGAUAUAUGUCUACCUCAUUAAAAGAGCACCAAGGAAGAGAGACAAGAAGGACGUCGACAUAGAGAGCCAAUCAAGGGAGGCCGCGAACAUUCCAAAAAUGUUCACCUACAAGGAGCUAGCAAAGGCCACUCGCAACUUUAGCAAGGAGAACCUGCUUGGCACUGGUGGUUUUGGAAGUGUUUACAAAGGGGUCAUCUUAGAUCCUCCGGUUGAAAUAGCCGUGAAAAAGAUCUCCGCAACCUCGAAACAAGGUUUGUUUCUUUACUUGUAUCAUGUACAGGGUCUCGUAGAUAAGAUCUAAACAUCACAGAAACAUAGUGCUGGACCAAUUUUAUAAUUGGUGUGAAUAAAGUAGAAGAGAGAAAUUCCAUAUAUAUAUAUAUAUAUAUAUAUAUAUAAUGUAUCUAGAAAAAGAGUACGUGGAGCUUAUUUAUAGGCUUGAAUAGACGAUAUGUAUAAUUAUAAUAAUUAAAGAAAAUGUCCUAAAUAUCUCUAGAAAAUACCUAAAUAUCUCUAACACUCUCCCCUCAAACAAGAGCAUAGAUAUUAAUCAAAUCCGGCUUGUUACGAGUAUAUUCUAUCCUCCCACGAUCC
This 37487-nucleotide long non-coding RNA is filed under the name Eucalyptus grandis. RNAcentral describes it as "long non-coding RNA (EGRA_LNC001517)". The record is from RNAcentral. Lineage: Eukaryota; Viridiplantae; Streptophyta; Magnoliopsida; Myrtales; Myrtaceae.